AGAGUUUGAUCAUGGCUCAGGAUAAACGCUGGCGGCGUGCCUAAAACAUGCAAGUCGAACGGCACCUUCGGGUGUAGUGGCGGACGGCUGAGUAACACGUGGGUGACCUGCCUUCGAGCGGGGGAUAACUGCCCGAAAGGGUGGCUAAUACCGCAGACAUCGUUCCUUCGUUGGGGCGAUUGAACCUCCGGGGUUCGAAGAGGGGCCCGCGGUCGAUUAGCUGGUUGGUGGGGUAACGGCCUACCAAGGCUUCGAUCGAUAGCUGGUCUGAGAGGAUGAUCAGCCAGACUGGGACUGCGAACGGCCCAGACUCCUACGGGAGGCAGCAGUUAGGAAUUUUGGGCAAUGGGCGAAAGCCUGACCCAGCAACGCCGCGUGGGUGAUGAAGGCCCUCGGGUCGUAAAGCCCUUUUCCCAGGGACGAUGGUGACGGUACCUGGGGAAUCAGCCCCGGCUAACUACGUGCCAGCAGCCGCGGUAAUAC
This 483-nucleotide ribosomal RNA is filed under the name uncultured bacterium. RNAcentral describes it as "bacterial SSU rRNA". It matches the Rfam family "Bacterial small subunit ribosomal RNA", at positions 8 to 526 of the family's 1533-position model. The record is from RNAcentral.